UGAGUGAAGAAGGCCUUCGGGUUGUAAAGCUCUUUUGUCAGGGAAGAAACGGUGAGGGCUAAUAUCCCUUGCUAAUGACGGUACCUGAAGAAUAAGCACCGGCUAACUACGUGCCAGCAGCCGCGGUAAUACGUAGGGUGCAAGCGUUAAUCGGAAUUACUGGGCGUAAAGCGUGCGCAGGCGGUUUUGUAAGUUUGUCGUGAAAGCCCCGGGCUCAACCUGGGAAUUGCGAUGAAGACUGCAAGGCUUGAAUCUGGCAGAGGGGGGUAGAAUUCCACGUGUAGCAGUGAAAUGCGUAGAGAUGUGGAGGAACACCGAUGGCGAAGGCAGCCCCCUGGGUCAAGAUUGACGCUCAUGCACGAAAGCGUGGGGAGCAAACAGGAUUAGAUACCCUGGUAGUCCACGCCCUAAACGAUGUCUACUAGUUGUCGGGUUUUAAUUAACUUGGUAACGCAG
RNAcentral lists this ribosomal RNA (456 nucleotides) under Massilia sp. Its description in RNAcentral is "bacterial SSU rRNA". It matches the Rfam family "Bacterial small subunit ribosomal RNA", at positions 402 to 851 of the family's 1533-position model. Lineage: Bacteria; Pseudomonadati; Pseudomonadota; Betaproteobacteria; Burkholderiales; Oxalobacteraceae. The record is from RNAcentral.